RNAcentral lists this ribosomal RNA (814 nucleotides) under Acinetobacter baumannii. RNAcentral describes it as "bacterial SSU rRNA". It matches the Rfam family "Bacterial small subunit ribosomal RNA", at positions 63 to 871 of the family's 1533-position model. Lineage: Bacteria; Pseudomonadati; Pseudomonadota; Gammaproteobacteria; Moraxellales; Moraxellaceae. The record is from RNAcentral.
GGAGCGGGGGAAGGUAGCUUGCUACUGGACCUAGCGGCGGACGGGUGAGUAAUGCUUAGGAAUCUGCCUAUUAGUGGGGGACAACAUCUCGAAAGGGAUGCUAAUACCGCAUACGUCCUACGGGAGAAAGCAGGGGAUCUUCGGACCUUGCGCUAAUAGAUGAGCCUAAGUCGGAUUAGCUAGUUGGUGGGGUAAAGGCCUACCAAGGCGACGAUCUGUAGCGGGUCUGAGAGGAUGAUCCGCCACACUGGGACUGAGACACGGCCCAGACUCCUACGGGAGGCAGCAGUGGGGAAUAUUGGACAAUGGGGGGAACCCUGAUCCAGCCAUGCCGCGUGUGUGAAGAAGGCCUUAUGGUUGUAAAGCACUUUAAGCGAGGAGGAGGCUACUUUAGUUAAUACCUAGAGAUAGUGGACGUUACUCGCAGAAUAAGCACCGGCUAACUCUGUGCCAGCAGCCGCGGUAAUACAGAGGGUGCGAGCGUUAAUCGGAUUUACUGGGCGUAAAGCGUGCGUAGGCGGCUUAUUAAGUCGGAUGUGAAAUCCCCGAGCUUAACUUGGGAAUUGCAUUCGAUACUGGUGAGCUAGAGUAUGGGAGAGGAUGGUAGAAUUCCAGGUGUAGCGGUGAAAUGCGUAGAGAUCUGGAGGAAUACCGAUGGCGAAGGCAGCCAUCUGGCCUAAUACUGACGCUGAGGUACGAAAGCAUGGGGAGCAAACAGGAUUAGAUACCCUGGUAGUCCAUGCCGUAAACGAUGUCUACUAGCCGUUGGGGCCUUUGAGGCUUUAGUGGCGCAGCUAACGCGAUAAGUAGACCG